GUGCAGCAGGCGCGAAAACUUUACAAUGUGCGAAAGCACGAUAAGGGAACUCUGAGUGCCUCCUAAGGAGGCUGUUCUGAUGUCUAAAAAGCAACAGAAGUAAGGGCUGGGUAAGACCGGUGCCAGCCGCCGCGGUAACACUGGCAGCCCAAGUGGUAGCCACGUUUAUUGGGUCUAAAGCGUCCGUAGCCGGCCAGGUAUGUUCCUUGGUAAAUUUAGCCGCUUAACGGUUAAGCUUUCAGGGAAUACUGCUUGGCUUGGGACUGGGAGAGGUCAGAGGUACUCCGGGGGUAGGGGUGAAAUCUAUUAAUCCCUGGGGGACCACCGGUAGCGAAGGCGUCUGACCAGACCAGGUCCGACGGUGAGGGACGAAGGCUAGGGGCGCGAACCGGAUUAGAUACCCGGGUAGU
Molecule: ribosomal RNA, 410 nt
Filed under: uncultured microorganism
Description: bacterial SSU rRNA
Rfam family: Archaeal small subunit ribosomal RNA
Source: RNAcentral